GGCCUUGACAUACUAAGAACUUUCCAGAGAUGGAUUGGUGCCUUCGGGAACUUAGAUACAGGUGCUGCAUGGCUGUCGUCAGCUCGUGUCGUGAGAUGUUGGGUUAAGUCCGCAACGAGCGCAACCCUUUUCCUUAUUUGCCAGCGGGUCAUGCCGGGAACUUUAAGGAUACUGCCAGUGACAAACUGGAGGAAGGCGGGGACGACGUCAAGUCAUCAUGGCCCUUACGGCCAGGGCUACACACGUGCUACAAUGGUCGGUACAAAGGGUUGCUACCUCGCGAGAGGAUGCUAAUCUCAAAAAGCCGAUCGUAGUCCGGAUCGCAGUCUGCAACUCGACUGCGUGAAGUCGGAAUCGCUAGUAAUCGCGGAUCAGAAUGCCGCGGUGAAUACGUUCCCGGGCCUUGUACACACCGCCCGUCACACCAUGGGAGUUUGUUGCACCAGAAGUAGGUAGUCUAACCGCAAGGAGGACGCUUACCACGGUGUGGCCGAUGACUGGGGUGAAGUCGUAACAAGGUAAGCGUACUACA
RNAcentral lists this ribosomal RNA (532 nucleotides) under uncultured bacterium. RNAcentral describes it as "bacterial SSU rRNA". It matches the Rfam family "Bacterial small subunit ribosomal RNA", at positions 977 to 1509 of the family's 1533-position model. The record is from RNAcentral.